UACGUAGGGUGCGAGCGUUGUCCGGAAUUAUUGGGCGUAAAGGGCUCGUAGGCGGUUUGUCGCGUCUGCUGUGAAAACUCGGGGCUUAACUCCGGGCCUGCACUCGAUACUGCUGUGACUUGAGUCCGGUAGGGGAGUGGGGAAUUCCUGGUGUAGCGGUGGAAUGCGCAGAUAUCAGGAGGAACACCGGUGGCGAAGGCGCCACUCUGGGCCGGUACUGACGCUGAGGAGCGAAAGCGUGGGGAGCGAACAGG
RNAcentral lists this ribosomal RNA (254 nucleotides) under uncultured bacterium. Its description in RNAcentral is "partial 16S ribosomal RNA". It matches the Rfam family "Bacterial small subunit ribosomal RNA", at positions 524 to 776 of the family's 1533-position model. The record is from RNAcentral.